RNAcentral lists this ribosomal RNA (272 nucleotides) under uncultured prokaryote. RNAcentral's name for it is "partial 16S ribosomal RNA". It matches the Rfam family "Archaeal small subunit ribosomal RNA", at positions 456 to 727 of the family's 1478-position model. The record is from RNAcentral.
GUUCAGCAGCCGCGGUAAUACCGGCAGCCCGAGUGAUGGCCGAUUUCAUUGGGCCUAAAGCGUCCGUAGCUGGCCGCGCAAGUCCAUCGGAAAAUCCACCCGGGCAACGGGUGGGCGUCCGGUGGAGACUGCGUGGCUUGGGACCGGAAGGCGCGACGGGUACGUCCGGGGUAGGAGUGAAAACCCGUAAUCCUGGACGGACCGCCGAUGGCGAAAGCACGUCGCGAGGACGGAUCCGACAGUGAGGGACGAAAGCCAGGGUCUCGAACCGG